UACAGAGGGUGCGAGCGUUAAUCGGAAUUACUGGGCGUAAAGCGUGCGCAGGCGGUUCCGCAAGUCAGAUGUGAAAUCCCCGGGCUCAACCUGGGAACUGCAUUUGAAACUACGGAGCUAGAGUGUGUCAGAGGGGGGUAGAAUUCCACGUGUAGCAGUGAAAUGCGUAGAGAUGUGGAGGAAUACCGAUGGCGAAGGCAGCCCCCUGGGAUGACACUGACGCUCAUGCACGAAAGCGUGGGGAGCAAACAGG
Molecule: ribosomal RNA, 253 nt
Filed under: uncultured bacterium
Lineage: Bacteria
Description: partial 16S ribosomal RNA
Rfam family: Bacterial small subunit ribosomal RNA
Source: RNAcentral